CAGGAAAUAGUUUAGUAUAAAAUUUUAGUUUUGGGGAUUAGAGAGAAAACAAUUGUUUUUUUCCUGA
This 67-nucleotide transfer RNA is filed under the name Ibacus alticrenatus. RNAcentral describes it as "tRNA-Pro". Lineage: Eukaryota; Metazoa; Arthropoda; Malacostraca; Decapoda; Scyllaridae. The record is from RNAcentral.